This 607-nucleotide ribosomal RNA is filed under the name uncultured bacterium. Its description in RNAcentral is "partial 16S ribosomal RNA". It matches the Rfam family "Bacterial small subunit ribosomal RNA", at positions 773 to 1381 of the family's 1533-position model. The record is from RNAcentral.
CAGGAUNAGAUACCCUGGUAGUCCACGCCNUAAACGAUGUCGAUUAGCUGUUGGGGCACUUGACGCCUUAGUAGCGUAGCUAACGCGUGAAAUCGACCGCCUGGGGAGUACGGUCGCAAGAUUAAAACUCAAAGGAAUUGACGGGGACCCGCACAAGCGGUGGAUGAUGUGGAUUAAUUCGAUGCAACGCGAAGAACCUUACCUGGUCUUGACAUGUACGGAACCUUCCAGAGACGGAAGGGUGCCUUCGGGAGCCGUAACACAGGUGCUGCAUGGCUGUCGUCAGCUCGUGUCGUGAGAUGUUGGGUUANNNNNNNNNNNNNGCGCAACCCUUGUCAUUAGUUGCCAUCAUUCAGUUGGGCACUCUAAUGAGACUGCCGGUGACAAACCGGAGGAAGGUGGGGACGACGUCAAGUCCUCAUGGCCCUUAUGACCAGGGCUUCACACGUCAUACAAUGGUCGGUACAGAGGGUAGCCAAGCCGCGAGGCGGAGCCAAUCCCAGAAAACCGAUCGUAGUCCGGAUUGCACUCUGCAACUCGAGUGCAUGAAGUCGGAAUCGCUAGUAGUCGCAGGUCAGCAUACUGCGGUGAAUACGUUCCCGGGUCU